CCUACGGGUGGCAGCAGUGGGGAAUAUUGCACAAUGGGGGAAACCCUGAUGCAGCGACGCCGCGUGCGCGAAGAAGUAUUUCGGUAUGUAAAGCUCUAUCAGCAGGGAAGAAAAUGACGGUACCUGAGUAAGAAGCUCCGGCUAAAUACGUGCCAGCAGCCGCAGUAAUACGUAGGGAGCAAGCGUUAUCCGGAUUUACUGGGCGUAAGGGGAGCGUAGGCGGCUUGCCAAGUCUGAUGUGAAAUACCGGGGCUCAACCCCGGGGCUGCGUUGGAAACUGGCGGUCUGGAGUGCCGGAGGGGCAGGCGGAAUGCAUAGUGUAGCGGUGAAAUGCGUAGAUAUUAGACGGAACACCAGUGGCGAAGGCGGCCUGCUGGACGGUGACUGACGCUGAGGCUCGAAAGCGUGGGGAGCAAACAGGAUUAGAUACCCGGGUAGUC
This 440-nucleotide ribosomal RNA is filed under the name uncultured bacterium. Its description in RNAcentral is "partial 16S ribosomal RNA". It matches the Rfam family "Bacterial small subunit ribosomal RNA", at positions 338 to 795 of the family's 1533-position model. The record is from RNAcentral.